CCCAGACUCCUACGGGAGGCAGCAGUGGGGGAUAUUGCACAAUGGGGGAAACCCUGAUGCAGCGACGCCGCGUGGGUGAAGAAGUAUUUCGGUAUGUAAAGCCCUAUCAGCAGGGAAGAAAGAAGACGGUACCUGACUAAGAAGCCCCGGCUAACUACGUGCCAGCAGCCGCGGUAAUACGUAGGGGGCGAGCGUUAUCCGGAUUCACUGGGUGUAAAGGGAGCGUAGACGGCCGUGCAAGCCAGGAGUGAAAGCCCGGGGCCCAACCCCGGGACUGCUCUUGGAACUGUGCGGCUGGAGUGCGGGAGGGGCAGGCGGAAUUCCUGGUGUAGCGGUGAAAUGCGUAGAUAUCAGGAGGAACACCGGCGGCGAAGGCGGCCUGCUGGACCGUGACUGACGUUGAGGCUCGAAAGCGUGGGGAGCAAACAGGAUUAGAUCCCCGUGUA
Molecule: ribosomal RNA, 446 nt
Filed under: uncultured bacterium
Lineage: Bacteria
Description: bacterial SSU rRNA
Rfam family: Bacterial small subunit ribosomal RNA
Source: RNAcentral